RNAcentral lists this small RNA (300 nucleotides) under Pan troglodytes (chimpanzee). RNAcentral's name for it is "processed transcript". Lineage: Eukaryota; Metazoa; Chordata; Mammalia; Primates; Hominidae. The record is from RNAcentral.
GAGCACCUAACCAUGUUGGGCAUCACUGUCCUCGCUGCGCUCUUAGCCUGUGCAACACCCGGACCUACCGUGUGGCCGUGGGAAAGAACAACCUGGAGGUGGAAGACGAAGAAGGAUCCCUAUUUGUGGGUGUGGACACCAUCCAUGUCCAUAAGAGAUGGAACGCCCUCCUGUUGCGCAAUGACAUUGCCCUCAUCAAGCUUGCAGAGCAUGUGGAGCUGAGUGACACCAUCCAGGUGGCCUGCCUGCCAGAGAAGGACUCCCUGCUCCCCAAGGACUACCCCUGCUAUGUCACCGGCU